Molecule: ribosomal RNA, 530 nt
Filed under: uncultured prokaryote
Description: bacterial SSU rRNA
Rfam family: Bacterial small subunit ribosomal RNA
Source: RNAcentral
UGGGGAAUAUUGGGCAAUGGAGGAAACUCUGACCCAGCAACGCCGCGUGCGGGAUGAAGGCCUUCGGGUUGUAAACCGCUUUCAGCAAGGAAGAAGCGAAAGUGACGGUACUUGCAGAAGAAGCACCGGCUAACUAUGUGCCAGCAGCCGCGGUAAUACAUAGGGUGCAAGCGUUGUCCGGAAUUAUUGGGCGUAAAGAGCUCGUAGGUGGUUCGUCACGUCGGAUGUGAAAAUCUGGGGCUUAACCCCAGACCUGCAUUCGAUACGGGCGAGCUAGAGUGUGGUAGGGGAGACUGGAAUUCCUGGUGUAGCGGUGGAAUGCGCAGAUAUCAGGAGGAACACCAAUGGCGAAGGCAGGUCUCUGGGCCAUUACUGACACUGAGGAGCGAAAGCGUGGGGAGCGAACAGGAUUAGAUACCCUGGUAGUCCACGCCGUAAACGGUGGGCGCUAGUUGUGGGAACCUUCCACGGUUUCUGCGACGCAGCUAACGCAUUAAGCGCCCCGCCUGGGGAGUACGAUCGCAAGAUUA